GCUAAAGUGAGCUAGCUAACAUCGUCAGGCCCUGCCAAGUAAUAAUGGACAACUUUUCCAGGAACUGUGCAAUAAUACUCACCUUUGCACAUUGAAGGCCUGCCAUUGGGUGACAGGAGCUAUAUAGCUAUGCCUACUCAGUCGGUUACAUUUACACUACGGAGACUUUUGAUAGCUGGGUUCAGCAGCUGCUCGUCUUCAACACAGUGUCGACGUUUUUGGGUAACUUUUUUGUAACUACGUUUUGAUUUCCGCAUUUCUAGACUUUUUUGUAACUACCUUUUGAUUUCCGCAUUUCUAGACUUUUUUGUAACUACCUUUUGAUUUCCGCAUUUCUAUACUUUUUUUGUAACUACGUUUUGAUUUCCGCAUUUUAUACUUGUUUUACUGUUAGGUGUUGUAGCACCAUCUUCUGGAGAUGUGUCGGAUUGCUCACCAGGGAACUGCUGUCAGGAUCCCAGUUUGUCUUUACACGGUGCACACAGGCGAGUCCGACAGCAGUCCAGUUCCAUCUGCGCUGCCCUGCAACAGAAAAAUAGGACCGUCUUUAGGACUACUAGGCGCUUCUAUUGAAUAGCCAUUGUUUUGGUUGUAAAGAAAUUCCCUUUUCAUUAUUUUUUAUUUUCUCAUAAUGUCUGCCACUGAAGAGAGGUAAGAAUUCCUGAUAUUAUUGAUGGUAUAAUUUGCGGAGCAGAUUGAUUACAUGAUUUGGACAACAUUUAGCAAAUAUAUUAAUUAAUAUUGCAAACUUAAUGUAUGGUGAAAUAUGCUGCUGUCUAAAAACAGGAAUAUCUUACUUUCUACAGAGCAACAACACUUUUGCAGCUAUUCUGUUGGUGUAAUUCCUACAAUAAUUAAUGCUGUUUUUUUUAAGGUCCCAUGUUGGUGUCGUAUAUGGGCUGCUCCAAACGCCAGGCUCCAGGGCCUCUGUGGUGCUCCUGAUGCCCCUCACCCACCGCUGAAGAUCCCAGGUGGGCGAGGGACUGGCAGGGAUCCCCCUCUCCAUGUGCUCCUUCACAAAGUGAGUCCCUAUAGGGCCCCAUCCCAGUAGCCAAACAAUAUAUUCUUCCUCCAUUGAAGUUAUCAAUCA
This 1090-nucleotide long non-coding RNA is filed under the name Salmo trutta (river trout). Its description in RNAcentral is "lncRNA (ENSSTUG00000043889.1)". The stretch from base 940 to 995 matches the Rfam family "Antizyme RNA frameshifting stimulation element". The record is from RNAcentral. Lineage: Eukaryota; Metazoa; Chordata; Actinopteri; Salmoniformes; Salmonidae.